Molecule: ribosomal RNA, 1551 nt
Filed under: Staphylococcus aureus
Lineage: Bacteria; Bacillati; Bacillota; Bacilli; Caryophanales; Staphylococcaceae
Description: 16S ribosomal RNA
Rfam family: Bacterial small subunit ribosomal RNA
Source: RNAcentral
UUUAUGGAGAGUUUGAUCCUGGCUCAGGAUGAACGCUGGCGGCGUGCCUAAUACAUGCAAGUCGAGCGAACGGACGAGAAGCUUGCUUCUCUGAUGUUAGCGGCGGACGGGUGAGUAACACGUGGAUAACCUACCUAUAAGACUGGGAUAACUUCGGGAAACCGGAGCUAAUACCGGAUAAUAUUUUGAACCGCAUGGUUCAAAAGUAAAAGACGGUCUUGCUGUCACUUAUAGAUGGAUCCGCGCUGCAUUAGCUAGUUGGUAAGGUAACGGCUUACCAAGGCAACGAUGCAUAGCCGACCUGAGAGGGUGAUCGGCCACACUGGAACUGAGACACGGUCCAGACUCCUACGGGAGGCAGCAGUAGGGAAUCUUCCGCAAUGGGCGAAAGCCUGACGGAGCAACGCCGCGUGAGUGAUGAAGGUCUUCGGAUCGUAAAACUCUGUUAUUAGGGAAGAACAUAUGUGUAAGUAACUGUGCACAUCUUGACGGUACCUAAUCAGAAAGCCACGGCUAACUACGUGCCAGCAGCCGCGGUAAUACGUAGGUGGCAAGCGUUAUCCGGAAUUAUUGGGCGUAAAGCGCGCGUAGGCGGUUUUUUAAGUCUGAUGUGAAAGCCCACGGCUCAACCGUGGAGGGUCAUUGGAAACUGGAAAACUUGAGUGCAGAAGAGGAAAGUGGAAUUCCAUGUGUAGCGGUGAAAUGCGCAGAGAUAUGGAGGAACACCAGUGGCGAAGGCGACUUUCUGGUCUGUAACUGACGCUGAUGUGCGAAAGCGUGGGGAUCAAACAGGAUUAGAUACCCUGGUAGUCCACGCCGUAAACGAUGAGUGCUAAGUGUUAGGGGGUUUCCGCCCCUUAGUGCUGCAGCUAACGCAUUAAGCACUCCGCCUGGGGAGUACGACCGCAAGGUUGAAACUCAAAGGAAUUGACGGGACCCGCACAAGCGGUGGAGCAUGUGGUUUAAUUCGAAGCAACGCGAAGAACCUUACCAAAUCUUGACAUCCUUUGACAACUCUAGAGAUAGAGCCUUCCCUUCGGGGACAAAGUGACAGGUGGUGCAUGGUUGUCGUCAGCUCGUGUCGUGAGAUGUUGGGUUAAGUCCCGCAACGAGCGCAACCCUUAAGCUUAGUUGCCAUCAUUAAGUUGGGCACUCUAAGUUGACUGCCGGUGACAAACCGGAGGAAGGUGGGGAUGACGUCAAAUCAUCAUGCCCCUUAUGAUUUGGGCUACACACGUGCUACAAUGGACAAUACAAAGGGCAGCGAAACCGCGAGGUCAAGCAAAUCCCAUAAAGUUGUUCUCAGUUCGGAUUGUAGUCUGCAACUCGACUACAUGAAGCUGGAAUCGCUAGUAAUCGUAGAUCAGCAUGCUACGGUGAAUACGUUCCCGGGUCUUGUACACACCGCCCGUCACACCACGAGAGUUUGUAACACCCGAAGCCGGUGGAGUAACCUUUUAGGAGCUAGCCGUCGAAGGUGGGACAAAUGAUUGGGGUGAAGUCGUAACAAGGUAGCCGUAUCGGAAGGUGCGGCUGGAUCACCUCCUUUCU